CCUACGGGGUGCUGCAGUGAGGAAUAUUGGUCAAUGGACGAGAGUCUGAACCAGCCAAGUAGCGUGAAGGAUGACUGCCCUAUGGGUUGUAAACUUCUUUUAUAUGGGAAUAAAACGUUCCACGUGUGGGAUUUUGUAUGUACCAUAUGAAUAAGGAUCGGCUAACUCCGUGCCAGCAGCCGCGGUAAUACGGAGGAUCCGAGCGUUAUCCGGAUUUAUUGGGUUUAAAGGGAGCGUAGGUGGAUUGUUAAGUCAGUUGUGAAAGUUUGCGGCUCAACCGUAAAAUUGCAGUUGAAACUGGCAGUCUUGAGUACAGUAGAGGUGGGCGGAAUUCGUGGUGUGGCGGUGAAAUGCUUAGAUAUCACGAAGAACUCCGAUUGCGAAGGCAGUUCACUGGACUGCAACUGACACUGAGGCUCGAAAGUGUGGGUAUCAAACAGGAUUAGAUACCCCUGUAGUC
This 460-nucleotide ribosomal RNA is filed under the name uncultured bacterium. Its description in RNAcentral is "partial 16S ribosomal RNA". It matches the Rfam family "Bacterial small subunit ribosomal RNA", at positions 338 to 795 of the family's 1533-position model. The record is from RNAcentral.